RNAcentral lists this transfer-messenger RNA (222 nucleotides) under Polaribacter sp. SA4-10. It matches the Rfam family "transfer-messenger RNA". Rfam says of the family: Bacterial tmRNA, also known as 10Sa RNA or SsrA, is named for its dual tRNA and mRNA-like properties. Its role is to liberate the mRNA from a stalled ribosome. The record is from RNAcentral. Lineage: Bacteria; Pseudomonadati; Bacteroidota; Flavobacteriia; Flavobacteriales; Flavobacteriaceae.
GGGAACGACAGGUUUUGACAACAAGGACAAUGAACUUGUAAGCAUCGUAAAAGUAAAUAUAGAAAACUUGAAGCUUUGGCAAGUUUUUGAAACUAAAGAAGAUAAGCUAAAAUCAGGUUGUUCUUCACCAACUUUUAGUCGAAAAUUAAGAAAGAACUAAGUAUGUAGAAAGCUUUUUGGCUGCUUGUUUGGACCCGAGUUCGAUUCUCGGCGUCUCCACAA